Molecule: ribosomal RNA, 276 nt
Filed under: Frutillaria edenensis
Lineage: Eukaryota; Metazoa; Arthropoda; Insecta; Diptera; Sphaeroceridae
Description: partial 12S ribosomal RNA
Source: RNAcentral
CAGAGGAAUUUGUUCUAUAAUCGAUAAUCCACGAUGGACCUUACUUAAACUUGUUAAUCAGUUUAUAUACCGUCGUUAUUAGAAUAUUUUAUAAGAAAAAUAAUUUUCAUAAAAUUUUAUUAAAUUAUAUAUCAGAUCAAGGUGUAGCUUAUGUUUAAGUAGAAAUGGAUUACAAUAAAUUUAUUUAUACGGAGGUAAAUAUGAAAAAUUUAUUGAAGGUGGAUUUGAUAGUAAAAUUAUAAAGAUUAAUAAUUUGAUUUUAGCUCUAAAAUAUGU